Molecule: long non-coding RNA, 1705 nt
Filed under: Zea mays
Lineage: Eukaryota; Viridiplantae; Streptophyta; Magnoliopsida; Poales; Poaceae
Description: long non-coding RNA (ZMAY_LNC005267)
Source: RNAcentral
GAAAACAGCUAAAGCACUAGUUGAAGAACUAAGGAAGUUGUCUAAGGAGGUUGAAGAUAGUGAGCUUGCAGAUGUUGCUGCAGUUAGUGCUGGCAACAACUAUGAAAUUGGUAACAUGAUAGCAGAGGCCAUGAGCAAGGUCGGUCGGAAGGGCGUUGUCACCCUUGAAGAGGGGAAGAGUUCUGAGAACUUUCUCUAUGUUGUGGAGGGAAUGCAAUUUGACCGUGGUUACAUCUCUCCGUACUUUGUAACAGACAGUGAGAAAAUGACUGCAGAGUACGAGAACUGCAAGGUAACUGUAAAAUAUGAGAUAUCAAUUCUUUUUUUUUUGCUGUUUAUUGCUUUCCUGUUUCAAAAGAAAAAAAAAACUCUGACCUAUUGGGGGGUGGGGGUAAGACAGUUCCUAGGCAAACAGCAGUUGCUUUCCUGUUUCAGACUAUUAAUGCUAUUGUCUUUCAUCUUCAUUGUUCAGCUGCUUUUGGUUGAUAAGAAAAUCACCAACGCAAGGGAUCUUAUCAACGUUUUGGAAGAAGCCAUCAGAGGUGCAUACCCAAUCCUGAUAAUUGCAGAGGAUAUUGAGCAGGAGGCUCUUGCUACCCUUGUCGUCAACAAGCUCAGAGGAUCACUGAAGAUCGCUGCCAUCAAAGCCCCUGGUUUUGGAGAGCGCAAGACUCAGUACUUGGAUGAUAUUGCCAUCCUUACUGGAGGUCAGCUAAACUUCCAUUCUAAAGCUUCAUUUUGAUCAUGUAUGCACCUUAUCCAUAAACAUACUUUGUUUCUGCAGCAACUGUAAUCAGAGAUGAAGUUGGGCUGUCACUUGACAAGGCCGACAAAUCAGUUCUUGGAACAGCUGCAAAGGUUGUCCUUACGAAAGAGUCGACAACAAUUGUUGGUGAUGGCAGCACCCAGGAAGAAGUUACUAAGAGGGUUGCACAGAUUAAAAAUCUCAUUGAGGUCUGACCUUUUCCUGUUCUAUUUGCUCACUUGACUUUACUGCUCAGGUGAAAGUCUGAAGCUCUGUUUUUAUGAACCUAAUUUGCAGGCAGCAGAACAAGAAUAUGAAAAGGAAAAGCUCAAUGAGAGGAUAGCGAAGCUUGCUGGCGGUGUUGCUGUCAUUCAGGUAAUGUGAAGUCCACGGGUCGCAAUGUGUUAUUUGUUCAAUGUUCUUUUCAUCGAUUCAAUGUUGCAGGUAUGGUGGAUAACCAUAAUUCAUGUAUGGCGUUGCUUGACAGGUGGGAGCACAAACAGAAACUGAACUAAAAGAGAAGAAGUUGAGAGUUGAGGAUGCCCUAAAUGCAACUAAGGUAAGUUGUCGAAGUAAUUAACUUGUGCUGCCAGAUUUAUAUUUCUCAUAUUUAAUUCACAUGUAUAAUGAUAUAUGAUGUUGGAUGAAAAAAUUAUAGAUUGUAAAUGUAGUUUGCACAAAAGAUAAAUUUUGUUGUGAAUCUAUACAAAAUUUUAGAUUUUAUGGACCAUGACUAGUUUAUGUCGAACAGACCUAGAUAGAUUUAUGUUUGUGAUUGGAGGAAGUAAAAAUCACUCCAUACUCCUUGCUUCUUGAAACAUUCUGUAUUUUCUGCUGAAUUCUCUUCUGGUUACAUAUGUAUCACUAAAGUUGUUUCUUUCUCUUCACAGGCUGCCGUUGAGGAAGGUAUUGUUGUUGGUGGAGGGUGCACUCUUUUGCGGCUUGCAGCUAAAGUCGACG